AGAGUUUGAUCCAUGGCUCAGAUUGAACGCUGGCGGUAUGCUUAAGACAUGCAAGUCGAACGGAAUCUUCGGAUUCAGUGGCGGACGGGUGAGUAACACGUGGGAAUCUACUGAGUAGUGGGGGACAGCCCGGCGAAAGCCGGAUUAAUACCGCAUACGCCCUACGGGGGAAAGGCGCAAGCCGCUAUUCAAUGAGCCCGCGUAAGAUUAGCUAGUUGGUAAGGUAAAGGCUUACCAAGGCGACGAUCUUUAGCUGGUCUGAGAGGAUGGCCAGCCACAUCGGGACUGAGACACGGCCCGGACUCCUACGGGAGGCAGCAGUCGGGAAUAUUGGACAAUGGGCGCAAGCCUGAUCCAGCAAUACCGCGUGUGUGAAGAAGGCCUGCGGGUUGUAAAGCAC
RNAcentral lists this ribosomal RNA (400 nucleotides) under uncultured bacterium. RNAcentral's name for it is "bacterial SSU rRNA". It matches the Rfam family "Bacterial small subunit ribosomal RNA", at positions 8 to 433 of the family's 1533-position model. The record is from RNAcentral.